This 686-nucleotide long non-coding RNA is filed under the name Phoenix dactylifera (date palm). RNAcentral describes it as "long non-coding RNA (PDAC_LNC004822)". Lineage: Eukaryota; Viridiplantae; Streptophyta; Magnoliopsida; Arecales; Arecaceae. The record is from RNAcentral.
ACUGAGAAGAACUCGACUCCGUCGAGUUGGGGCUGAAGAGCUCGUGCAAAGGCGCGGGAUCUCCUCUGUCUUCAGCCACGAAUACUCUGAAAGGGGUUGGUUCUUCUACUUCACCAAGAAUUUCUGAUAUCCUUCUUGGCAUGCCGUAAUCUGCUGAUCGCCUCGAUUUGAAUUUAUGAAUUCUAGAAAGAGAUCUUGAAAAUCAGCAAAGGAAUAUCUUUUCAGACUUACAUAAAACUUCUCCGAUCGAAGAACCUGAAGAUCUUGUUGAAGGUGCUGCUUGUGCUCCUUUCGGCUUUGACUAAAAGUCAGAUUAUUGUACUCGAAAUCUGAUGGCAUCUCUUUUGAAAUUUCAGAACCAACCGAUGCGAACACGGUUCUAUCUUCAUGGCCAAUCUCUGCUGAAUUUUCUGAAUUGUCUUUCUUAGGCAAUUCUUCUAGAGUUAUAUCAGAAAGAUCACCUCUGAAAUUUUUAUCUUCCACGUUGGCUUCUUUCUUGUCCUCAAUCUCAGCGGGUCUAUGAGGAACUUCAGAGGAAGGAGAAGGGAUCUUAGCGGCAGGGACAUCAUCAGAUAGUGUUGCUAAAUUUUCAAAAUCAGCAUCAAGAUCUUUUUUGAAUAUCUGCUGAUCUUUAGUGGGACAAAUAUCAGUGAGGUGCCCUCGGCCACCGCACUUGGAGCAAUCGG